This is a long non-coding RNA of Ornithodoros turicata, 1961 nucleotides long. RefSeq lists it as uncharacterized. NCBI's taxonomy places the organism in Eukaryota, Metazoa, Arthropoda, Arachnida, Ixodida, Argasidae. The record is from RefSeq and is a predicted model, not a curated record. The transcript is spliced from 3 exons.
UGUGUUAUUUAACAUUUAACGUCCACCACCCAAUUAUAAUGAACGGCCAUGGAAACUAAAGAUAUUACAAAAAAUAAGUACUCAAUAAGCACGAGCUAAAGCAAUGGCAAUGACGUCUGCCCGUCUACCCAAUCACCAUCCAUCCAUCCAACCAGUUCGAACCUGUUCAGUUUCAACCGUUGAAACUUCAAACUUUCCGGACGCGCAACGUGUAGCAGUUGGGUGGUUGGGUCAUGGCGGCUGUAUUCCACUGGUUGUUAUACGAAAAUAUUUCGAAGUUCUAAUCUCCCGCGCGUUUUGUCUUGCAAUUUUUGAGCAUAGCGAGAACGUACGCCGUGCUGUCCAGUGAUAAAAGCUGUUGAGCGCAGCAGAGCUCCCAGAGUACUGUGGUGGACAGCGUUUCUUUGUUCUCUGGCUUUCAAGUUUAAGGGGUGAGUUCACUCUUCAUUAAAGUAUGUGCCUGUUUCUGUGCACCAAAUCGCAUGUAGUAGAGAUGCGUGGCAUAAUAUCGGAAUAUCGUUUCCUUUAUUUCGGCUUCGUAUCACCGAUUCAAACAUAUUGGAAGUGUGGGUUGAUCUGACUGCACUUGCAUUCAAAGUAGUAAUUAACGUUGUAUGUUCGGCAGUACAACGUUUCAUUAAGUGCCUUGGUUCGUCUUGGCGCUGAAACAACUACGGUAUCACUAAUUAACCAUCGAGAUUAACGAGUUUUCGAUGACUGUUGGUCUUGAGUAAACGAAAGUCGACAGUUACGGUUUGCAGGGCGGACGUGCCGGAACAUAAAUGUUCGUUAGUUCAUUGUCAUGGCAGCCCGACAUCCGUUGUUGCGUUUUUCGCUGGUAGUGAAACUACACACUGAAAAUUUUGCGCAAGUACUUUUGUUUGCAUAUCAUGGUUUCAUAGCAACUGGAUUUUUCUGUUUAUAGGUGCUUGGACUAUCUUGCAUCGGUGGAUAUGAAAAUAGUGGUAACCUACCCUACGAAACAGCUAUUUUCACAUAAGCUUAACGGUUCCCUGUGAGAUGCUGUGAAAGUCAGCAGGGAAGUGCGAUGUAGAAGAACCGACUGCCAGAAGCCUGCUAAGGAACCGCACAACAUGUGUGGGCAGGAGACAAAAUAUUCAUCAAACCGUACAAAACUAGUAUUUUUGUGCUUGGUCGUUUCGAAACACCCUUGGUAUUGUAUGGAGAACAGCGUGACUAUGUCAUUCCGUCUUACUUUACCCAAACAGCUAUCUGGCAAUAGUGCAAGAUCUGAGUUCCUAAAAGGUUUAUUCAUUGAAGUCACCUCAGCGCCAUGCUAUAGGUCCCUCAAUGUUAAGCCCUUGCAUUUGUUCGCCGCAUUAUGGUUUUUAGGUGACUAUUAACACCAAAAAUAUGGAAAUUGCUCGGGUAUUCUACAAAUCACAGAGCAACAAGUUUUAAGCACCAGAUAUACGGUGAGUAUAAUAUGGGUAACAGCUUGACUGAAAUCUACAAUAGGGCAGAGAUCUACAAAGGCCAAUGGCAGCAAAUCUGCCUGCUAGCGACAGUGGCGGUCUCCUGCGGAUGACGUCAUGUGAAUAAACCUUAUAAUAUUUGACAUGGUGAUACAGCUCUUGCUUUGUAUUGUCUUUUAUAGUAUACACAGUGUUUAUUUUUAUCCUGUACAGAAUUUUUGCAUCAAAGUUAUGAGAGCAGCACAGAUGUUGUUUUAGCGUAAUGCAGUGCUGGAAGAGCUGCGCCAAUCAUGGAGUGCUCAGCAGUCCCCUGCUCGACCAGCCACAGUGAGUCAUUGGUGGCGGUGCUGCAGCAUCAACAUUGGAAGAAAGGAAUGAGGUGGCCAUCAACACCCUGCUGCCAGUUCAACACUCCUCAGUCAAAACACAAGACGCCUUCUUGGCGGCAAAGUCAAUCCAGUUUUAGACGGAGUUUUGUACCGUAGACUUCGUGUGUGGUUUACUGCCAAUAAAUGUUUAUGCUGA